AUUGAACGCUGGCGGCAUGCCUUACACAUGCAAGUCGAACGGCAGCACGGGUGCUUGCACCUGGUGGCGAGUGGCGAACGGGUGAGUAAUACAUCGGAACGUACCUUAUCGUGGGGGAUAACGCAGCGAAAGUUGCGCUAAUACCGCAUACGCCCUGAGGGGAAAAGCGGGGGACCGUAAGGCCUCGCGCGAUUAGAGCGGCCGAUGUCUGAUUAGCUUGUUGGUGAGGUAAAAGCUCACCAAGGCGAUGAUCAGUAGCUGGUCUGAGAGGACGAUCAGCCACACUGGGACUGAGACACGGCCCAGACUCCUACGGGUGGCUG
RNAcentral lists this ribosomal RNA (323 nucleotides) under uncultured Pseudomonadota bacterium. Its description in RNAcentral is "bacterial SSU rRNA". It matches the Rfam family "Bacterial small subunit ribosomal RNA", at positions 30 to 351 of the family's 1533-position model. Lineage: Bacteria; Pseudomonadati; Pseudomonadota. The record is from RNAcentral.